CACAUCACGUUGAAACACCGGUUUCCGUACGAUCACCGAAGUUAAGCAACAUCGAGCCUGGUCAGUACCUAGAUGGGUAAUCUCUUGGGAACACCAAGUGCUGUAAG
This is a non-coding RNA of Acanthosepion pharaonis, 107 nucleotides long. NCBI's taxonomy places the organism in Eukaryota, Metazoa, Mollusca, Cephalopoda, Sepiida, Sepiidae. The record is from the annotation of a GenBank genome assembly.